UACGUAGGGGGCAAGCGUUAUCCGGAUUCACUGGGUGUAAAGGGAGCGUAGACGGCGACGCAAGUCUGGAGUGAAAGCCCGGGGCCCAACCCCGGGACUGCUCUGGAAACUGCGUCGCUGGAGUACGGGAGGGGCAGGCGGAAUUCCUGGUGUAGCGGCGAAAUGCGUAGAUAUCAGGAGGAACACCGGCGGCGAAGGCGGCCUGCUGGACCGUGACUGACGUUGAGGCUCGAGAGCGUGGGGAGCAAACAGG
RNAcentral lists this ribosomal RNA (253 nucleotides) under uncultured bacterium. RNAcentral's name for it is "partial 16S ribosomal RNA". It matches the Rfam family "Bacterial small subunit ribosomal RNA", at positions 524 to 776 of the family's 1533-position model. The record is from RNAcentral.